RNAcentral lists this ribosomal RNA (254 nucleotides) under uncultured bacterium. Its description in RNAcentral is "partial 16S ribosomal RNA". It matches the Rfam family "Bacterial small subunit ribosomal RNA", at positions 524 to 776 of the family's 1533-position model. The record is from RNAcentral.
CACGUAGGGGGCGAGCGUUGUCCGGAUUUAUUGGGCGUAAAGAGCUCGUAGGCGGCUCAGUAAGUCAGGUGUGAAAACUCCAGGCUCAACCUGGAGACGCCACCUGAUACUGCUGUGGCUAGAGUCCGGUAGGGGAGCAUGGAAUUCCUGGUGUAGCGGUGAAAUGCGCAGAUAUCAGGAAGAACACCCGUGGCGAAGGCGGCUCUCUGGUACGUGACUGACGCUGAGACGCGAAAGCGUGGGGAGCAAACAGG